RNAcentral lists this long non-coding RNA (315 nucleotides) under Trifolium pratense (red clover). RNAcentral describes it as "long non-coding RNA (TPRA_LNC012624)". Lineage: Eukaryota; Viridiplantae; Streptophyta; Magnoliopsida; Fabales; Fabaceae. The record is from RNAcentral.
AGGUGACUCCUAAGCUUUGAAGUACGGAGUUUACCGUGUGUGAUUCACUUGAAGCUUUUAAGCAAAAGUGAAGUGUUGUCUUGGCAAGUUGUCGCCACAUCAUUCUUAACAUUGUUUAAACAACACAGGUUGUGUUGUGUGAGUGGAAGUGAGAUGGGAUCUCAUGUCUAGGAGUUCCUAGGCAGAAGUUGCAAGAGUAGUGUCGAGGUUAUAAGACGUAAACCAUGGGUUUGCUGGAGGUCUUAGUUUAAGGCGUAAAUCCUAGGGUUUGCUGGAGGUCUUAGUAACUAGAGCUAUUAGUGGAUUUCCUUCCUG